This 253-nucleotide ribosomal RNA is filed under the name uncultured bacterium. Its description in RNAcentral is "partial 16S ribosomal RNA". It matches the Rfam family "Bacterial small subunit ribosomal RNA", at positions 524 to 776 of the family's 1533-position model. The record is from RNAcentral.
UACAGAGGGGGCAAGCGUUAUUCGGAAUUAUUGGGCGUAAAGGGCGCGUAGGCGGCCUGACAAGUGGAAGGUGAAAUCCCUCGGCUUAACCGAGGAACUGCCCUCCAAACUGUUUGGCUUGAGUCCGGGAGAGGUGAGUGGAAUUCCCAGUGUAGCGGUGAAAUGCGUAGAUAUUGGGAGGAACACCUGAGGCGAAGGCGGGCUACUGGGCCGAUACUGACGCUGAUGUGCGAAAGCCAGGGGAGCGAACGGG